RNAcentral lists this long non-coding RNA (219 nucleotides) under Elaeis guineensis (African oil palm). RNAcentral's name for it is "long non-coding RNA (EGUI_LNC075685)". The record is from RNAcentral. Lineage: Eukaryota; Viridiplantae; Streptophyta; Magnoliopsida; Arecales; Arecaceae.
AUUAUAAUCGGCUUCUCGUCGCACAAGAGAGUAUCGAUCAACCCUUGCUGGAUGAGCACGUCUUUCAUCCUUACCUAACACAAGGAGAAAUUGCUCUUUUCAUAAAACCUGUUGAUCUCCAUCUUGAUGGUGCUUGUCUUCUCCAUCUUUUAUCUCAAUCACCACUACUGCAACCUAUGCUCUUGCAACCACCUUGCUCUGAUACCAAUUAUUGCGCCA